RNAcentral lists this ribosomal RNA (329 nucleotides) under uncultured eukaryote. RNAcentral describes it as "partial 18S ribosomal RNA". It matches the Rfam family "Eukaryotic small subunit ribosomal RNA", at positions 1470 to 1796 of the family's 1831-position model. The record is from RNAcentral.
CCCUUAGAUGUUCUGGGCCGCACGCGCGCUACACUGACAGGGCCAACGAGUUCAUCACCUUGGCCGGAAGGUCUGGGUAAUCUUGUUAAACCCUGUCGUGCUGGGGAUAGAGCAUUGCAAUUAUUGCUCUUCAACGAGGAAUGCCUAGUAAGCGCAUGUCAUCAGCAUGCGUUGAUUACGUCCCUGCCCUUUGUACACGCCGCCCGUCGCUACUACCGAUUGAAUGGCUCAGUGAGGCCUUCGGACUGGCCCAGGGAGGUCGGCAACGACCACCCAGGGCCGGAAAGUUGGUCAAACUCGGUCAUUUAGAGGAAGUAAAAGUCGUAACA